CUUUCUCCGGUCGCUGCCGCCACCACCGUUGCUUCGCGGGCUGGGAGGCCCGGGGUUCCCGGGCGAACAGAGGCUGCGGUGGACUGACGCCGCAGGGGCGAGCUAGCCGGCUCCGCGCCUCUCCGCGGGAUCCAGACGCCUCCUGGGGCUGCUGGCGGAGGGUCUGAGGCGGCGCGGCCAUGGCUCACCUCCGGGGAUUUGCCAACCAGCACUCUCGAGUGGACCCUGAGGAGCUCUUCACCAAGCUCGACCGCAUUGGCAAGGGCUCGUUUGGGGAGGUCUACAAGGGCAUCGAUAACCACACGAAGGAGGUGGUGGCCAUCAAGAUCAUCGACCUGGAGGAGGCCGAGGAUGAGAUCGAGGACAUCCAGCAGGAGAUCACUGUCCUCAGCCAGUGCGACAGCCCCUACAUCACCCGCUACUUUGGCUCCUACCUAAAGGUGCCUGUUGUGGGGAGGCGGGGACCCUGCUGGUGCUGUGCCCGGCUCUCUUCCAUGUCAGAGGGACUGAGUGACAUGCCAGAGGGUGCAAGGCGGUCUUGACGGUUCAGUGCAUGCCCUC
This 561-nucleotide small RNA is filed under the name Pan troglodytes (chimpanzee). Its description in RNAcentral is "retained intron". The record is from RNAcentral. Lineage: Eukaryota; Metazoa; Chordata; Mammalia; Primates; Hominidae.